ACACCCGAGACCAUGAACCCCUUUGGUCAUCACGGCGGCCACCAACACCACCACCACGGCCAAGAGGAGGAGGAUGAACGGCAUCGCUACCCUCCGCCGGGCUACCAGCCACCGCUUCCCACGCCGCCGUACUAUGGGGGCCCAGCCUACCCGCCGGCCGUCCAGCACGUGUCCCACGAGGGCGGUCCCGGAUACGGUCUGCCGGCCGUCCAGCACGUGUCGCACGAGGGCGGGCCCGGCUACGGCCCGCCGCCGCCUGUCUACCCUCCCCCGCCUGGCUACCACGGCGAGGGGAGCUACGGCGGCAGCCAGCACCACCACGGCCCCUCUCCUCCGCCCACCUACCCUCCCGCUCCCGGUCCCGGGGACCAUCAUGACGGUGGCUACGGCCAUCAGCACCAUCAGCACCACCACUUCCUCCCGCACUUCCCCGGGGUCCACCACGUGAGCCACGAGAGAUGGGAAGGAGAGGCAGCGGCGCCGCCGCCGCCGGGGCAUGGGCAGCCGACCGUCAGGAUCUACACCAAGGCAGAGAAUAACUUCUCUCUGUCCAUUCGUGAUGGGAAGGUGAUCCUCGCGCGCAACGAUCCCACAGACCCGUACCAGCACUGGAUCAGGGACAUGAGGUACAGCACCAAGGUGAAGGAUGAGGAGGGUUUCCCAAGCUUUGCUCUGAUUAACAAGGUUACUGGUGAAGCUCUGAAGCACUCUUUUGGUGCAACUCAUCCUGUUAGGUUGAUCCGCUAUAAUCCAGACUAUCUAGAUGAGUCUGUCCUGUGGUCUGAGAGCAAGGACUUGGGUGAUGGCUUCCGAUGCAUAAGGAUGGUAAAUAACAUCCGCUUGAACUUUGAUGCCUUCCAUGGGGACAAGAACCAUGGAGGGGUGAGAGAUGGAACGAUUCUUGUGCUUUGGGAGUGGCUGAAGGGAGAUAAUCAGAGGUGGAAGAUUGUUCCUCACUGAUGUUGAGCUGUUGUUUAUAACCUCUUUGUCUCUUCUGAAAUCCUGUUCCCUCUCCAAGUUCCCUAGAAUUUCUUGCCUAUUGUCAAAUUGUAAAUGAGAAGUUUAAAUCAAACAUGGAAAAUUCUGAUGGAGAUUAUGUUAUAUCCUUAAUGUGGCUCAGUAUCCAUCUCUACAAGCUCUCGUUGUUAGUCAUAUUAUUCAGAAUAAGCUGUACGUUUCAUGUGAGAGUGCUUUUGUUUAUCCGAGCAAGAGUGGAGGUUAUAGUUUAACAGUGGUCCUUUGUAUUUUCAUGCUAUAUCUGAAUGUAAACGGUCUCCAGUUUCUUUAUGUCUAUCUUCGCUGCUAAAUAUACAUGCUAAACAGUUGUUUUAUUAAUAUCAUGUGGAAUAUAUUGAUUCCGACUCA
This is an RNA transcript of Musa acuminata subsp. malaccensis (wild Malaysian banana), 1365 nucleotides long. It is a transcript of the gene named ricin B-like lectin EULS3, with no coding region annotated. The record is from RefSeq and is a predicted model, not a curated record. NCBI's taxonomy places the organism in Eukaryota, Viridiplantae, Streptophyta, Magnoliopsida, Zingiberales, Musaceae.